GACUCUUGGCAACGAUUUCUCAGCUCUCGCAUCGAUGAAGAACGUAGCGAAAUGUGAUACUUGGUGUGAAUUGCAGAAUCCCGUGAACCAUCGAGUCUUCGAACACAAGUUGCGCCCGAAGCCAUUAUGCCGAGGGCACGUCUGCCUGGGCAUCA
Molecule: ribosomal RNA, 155 nt
Filed under: Nicotiana attenuata
Lineage: Eukaryota; Viridiplantae; Streptophyta; Magnoliopsida; Solanales; Solanaceae
Description: rRNA 5_8S_rRNA
Rfam family: 5.8S ribosomal RNA
About the family: 5.8S ribosomal RNA (5.8S rRNA) is a component of the large subunit of the eukaryotic ribosome. It is transcribed by RNA polymerase I as part of the 45S precursor that also contains 18S and 28S rRNA. Functionally, it is thought that 5.8S rRNA may be involved in ribosome translocation.
Source: RNAcentral